This 104-nucleotide small nuclear RNA is filed under the name Numida meleagris (helmeted guineafowl). Lineage: Eukaryota; Metazoa; Chordata; Aves; Galliformes; Numididae. The record is from RNAcentral.
AUGCUCAUUUCAGCAGCAUAUAUACUAAAAUUGGAAUGUUAUGGAGAAGAUUAGCAUGGCUCCUGAGCAAGGAUGUAAUAAAAGGUAAGGUGCUCAAUUUUUUA